Molecule: ribosomal RNA, 253 nt
Filed under: uncultured bacterium
Lineage: Bacteria
Description: partial 16S ribosomal RNA
Rfam family: Bacterial small subunit ribosomal RNA
Source: RNAcentral
UACGUAGGGUGCGAGCGUUAAUCGGAAUUACUGGGCGUAAAGCGUGCGCAGGCAGUAAGUUAAGUCUGAUCUGAAAGCCCCGGGCUCAACCUGGGAAUGGCAUUGGAAACUGGCUUGCUAGAGUGUGGCAGAGGGGGGUGGAAUUCCGCGUGUAGCAGUGAAAUGCGUAGAGAUGCGGAGGAACACCGAUGGCGAAGGCAGCCCCCUGGGCCAACACUGACGCUCAGGCACGAAAGCGUGGGGAGCAAACAGG